GACGAACGCUGGCGGCGUGCUUAACACAUGCAAGUCGAACGAGAAUCUAAUGACGGAGUUUUCGGACAACUGAUUUAGAGGACAGUGGCGGACUGGUGAGUAACGCGUGAGGAACCUGCCUUUCAGAGGGGGACAACAGUUGGAAACGACUGCUAAUACCGCAUGAUGUGUAACUGGGACAUCCCGGAUACACCAAAGAUUUAUCGCUGAAAGAUGGCCUCGCGUCCGAUUAGAUAGUUGGCGGGGUAACGGCCCACCAAGUCGACGAUCGGUAGCCGGACUGAGAGGUUGACCGGCCACAUUGGGACUGAGAUACGGCCCAGACUCCUACGGGAGGCAGCAGGUGAGGAAUAUUGGGUCAAUGGGCGCAAGCCUGAACCAGCCAAGUAGCGUGAGGGAAGACUGCCCUACGGGUUGUAAACCUCUUUUGUUUGGGAAUAAAGUGCGGGACGCGUCCCGCGAUUGCAUGUACCGAUUU
Molecule: ribosomal RNA, 478 nt
Filed under: uncultured bacterium
Lineage: Bacteria
Description: bacterial SSU rRNA
Rfam family: Bacterial small subunit ribosomal RNA
Source: RNAcentral